UACGAAGGGGGCUAGCGUUGCUCGGAAUCACUGGGCGUAAAGGGUGCGUAGGCGGGUCUUUAAGUCAGGGGGGAAACCCUGGAGCUCAACUCCAGAACUGCCUUUGAUACUGAAGAUCUUGAGUUCGGGAGAGGUGAGUGGAACUGCGAGUGUAGAGGUGAAAUUCGUAGAUAUUCGCAAGAACACCAGUGGCGAAGGCGGCUCACUGGCCCGAUACUGGCGCUGAGGCACGAAAGCGUGGGGAGCAAACAGG
This 253-nucleotide ribosomal RNA is filed under the name uncultured bacterium. RNAcentral's name for it is "partial 16S ribosomal RNA". It matches the Rfam family "Bacterial small subunit ribosomal RNA", at positions 524 to 776 of the family's 1533-position model. The record is from RNAcentral.